GAUGAACGCUAGCGGCGGGCUUAAUACAUGCAAGUCAAGGGGUAGCAAUACACCGGCGUACGGGUGCGUAACGCGUAUGGAACCUGCCCUUAUCUGGGGGAUAACUCGGGGAAACUCGAGCUAAUACCGCAUAAGAUAGUAGAAUGGCAUCAUUCAGCUAUUAAAGAUUUAUUGGAUAAGGAUGGCCAUGCGUAAGAUUAGAUAGUUGGCGAGGUAACGGCUCACCAAGUCUACGAUCUUUAGGGGCUCUGAGAGGAGAAUCCCCCCACACUGGCACUGAGAUACGGGCCAGACUCCUACGGGAGGCAGCAGUAGGGAAUAUUGGACAAUGGGCGCAAGCCUGAUCCAGCCAUUCCGCGUGCAGGAUGAAGGCCCUCGGGUUGUAAACUGCUUUUGUACAGAACGAAAAGGCUCUGGUUAAUACCUGGGGCUCAUGACGGUACUGUAAGAAUAAGCGCCGGCUAACUACGUG
Molecule: ribosomal RNA, 472 nt
Filed under: uncultured bacterium
Lineage: Bacteria
Description: bacterial SSU rRNA
Rfam family: Bacterial small subunit ribosomal RNA
Source: RNAcentral